Bicyclus anynana (squinting bush brown) is the source of this 872-nucleotide long non-coding RNA. RefSeq lists it as uncharacterized. The transcript has 2 exons. NCBI's taxonomy places the organism in Eukaryota, Metazoa, Arthropoda, Insecta, Lepidoptera, Nymphalidae. The record is from RefSeq and is a predicted model, not a curated record.
CAGAUACUUACGGUGGAAUUCAUAGUCGUAGUAGGGGGCCCCUAAGGGGAUUAUUCAGCCGCUAUGUGUCGAAUUCAACCCCUACGCGUUUCAUAGACAAAAGAAACCCCUCAUUUGACAGGAGCUGGCGGCUGACUGCUGAAUUACCGAUAUUUGUCAGCCAAACCAUCCCCUGGCAUUUUUUUUUGUUGUUAUUCGUGAUUUAUUUAUUAGAAAGUGGACGUUCGGAUCGUUAUAAGUGAAGUUAUAAACAGCGAGUUAUAUCAGUGCCCAAGAUAUAUAUUCGCAAUUGCGUAAACCCAGUAUAAUACUAUGGCGAUAUGGAAUGUACGAAAGAUUCUCAUAUUAGGCAUAAUAUGCCUCUGUUUGAUGAAGAAUGAACACAGAAGACCAAGAGAGGAAUACCAAUACCGCUAGUAUUAUACAUUCUAGCAGCACUUCGAUUCUAUAACGGGAUGUUAUCAGACUGUAGGUGCAGUCCAUCAAGCAUUCUAUGAAAUAACUUAAAUGCCAAAAGUCGUUACAUAGGUAUACAUAUAAACAACCCCGAAGGACCCUAUACACAGAUUUAAAGAAACCGGCUAUCAUGGCAGGGAAUAGCAGUGAUGAGCUCUGAGAAUACUGUUUUACCAAGAAUACUGAGAAUACUUUGGUUCUUGAAAAUCUCAGUAAUUGGAAGACCCUCAUACCUUGAAAAGUCAGCAGCAUUUAAUAUCGAAGUAGUAGGAGUGAGUGCAGUGUAUUGUAAGGUGGUCACUCACUCUUGAAGGUCCAUAACAAUAAAAAAUAUAUACAAAUCUUAAUUGAAUGAAUGAUGGAAAAUAAAAAGUUAUUGAUUCACAUCUUUAAUAAAGAUAAUUAUUAAAUGUUUA